Etheostoma spectabile (orangethroat darter) is the source of this 255-nucleotide long non-coding RNA. RefSeq lists it as uncharacterized. NCBI's taxonomy places the organism in Eukaryota, Metazoa, Chordata, Actinopteri, Perciformes, Percidae. The transcript is spliced from 3 exons. The record is from RefSeq and is a predicted model, not a curated record.
AUGAUUGUGAAGAUUUACAAAUGAAUGUGUGGAGGGGCCAGACCUUACCUCACAGCGCUGUGGAGAGAGGUCUGGCAAUGUGAGACUACACUGCGCCAAUGUCAGAAAUAUGAACUCAUGAGCUACAUUUCAAGACAGCAAUUGUUCCCAAUCCCUUGUUUAUUAGUGUCUAUCCAUUGGCAUGUUGCACACAGAAGCACCAACACAGAAAACAUGCCAAACAGAUUUGACCCUGGAAGAUAAGAAAUUCCUCCA